RNAcentral lists this ribosomal RNA (305 nucleotides) under uncultured bacterium. RNAcentral describes it as "partial 16S ribosomal RNA". It matches the Rfam family "Bacterial small subunit ribosomal RNA", at positions 334 to 655 of the family's 1533-position model. The record is from RNAcentral.
AGGUCCUACGGGGGGCAGCAGUGGGGAAUAUUGCACAAUGGGGGGAACCCUGAUGCAGCGACGCCGCGUGAGCGAGGAAGUAUUUCGGUAUGUAAAGCUCUAUCAGCAGGGACGAAAAAAGACGGUACCUGACUGAGAAGCCCCGGCUAACUACGUGCCAGCAGCCGCGGUAAUACGUAGGGGGCAAGCGUUAUCCGGAUUUACUGGGUGUAAAGGGAGCGUAGACGGCAAGGCAAGCCAGAAGUGAAAGGGCAGGGCUCAACCCUGGGACUGCUUUGGAAACUGUUUUGCUAGAGUGUCGGAGG